This 238-nucleotide long non-coding RNA is filed under the name Elaeis guineensis (African oil palm). Its description in RNAcentral is "long non-coding RNA (EGUI_LNC038787)". The record is from RNAcentral. Lineage: Eukaryota; Viridiplantae; Streptophyta; Magnoliopsida; Arecales; Arecaceae.
AGAGAUAGGGCCAUUAGGAAUGAUCCCAAGAUCUAUGAUGAGGUGAUGUUAGAUAUAGACCCCAAAAAAUGAAAGGAAGCAAUGAAGUCAAAAACUGACUCUAUGCAUUCCAAUCAGGUUUGGACCUUAGUAGAUCCACCUAAAGGUAUUGUAUCUAUUGGGUGUAAAUAGAUCUAUAAAAAAAAAUUGGAUUAGAUGGUUAGAUAGAGACCUAUAAGGCAAAGCUGGAUAUGAAAGG